AGUGAACGCUGGCGGUAGGCCUAACACAUGCAAGCCGAACGGCAGCACAGUAAGAGCUUGCUCUUACGGGUGGCGAGUGGCGGACGGGUGAGGAAUACAUCGGAAUCUACUUUUUCUUGGGGGAUAACGUAGGGAAACUUACGCUAAUACCGCAUACGACCUACGGGUGAAAGCAGGGGAUCUUCGGACCUUGCGCGAUUGAAUGAGCCGAUGUCGGAUUAGCUAGUUGGCGGGGUAAAGGCCCACCAAGGCGACGAUCCGUAGCUGGUCUGAGAGGAUGAUCAGCCACACUGGAACUGAGACACGGUCCAGACUCCUACGGGAGGCAGCAGUGGGGAAUAUUGGACAAUGGGCGCAAGCCUGAUCCAGCCAUACCGCGUGGGUGAAGAAGGCCUUCGGGUUGUAAAGCCCUUUUGUUGGGAAAGAAAAGCAGCAGGUUAAUACCCCGCUGUUCUGACGGUACCCAAAGAAUAAGCACCGGCUAACUUCGUG
Molecule: ribosomal RNA, 492 nt
Filed under: uncultured bacterium
Lineage: Bacteria
Description: partial 16S ribosomal RNA
Rfam family: Bacterial small subunit ribosomal RNA
Source: RNAcentral